CUACGGGCUGCUCCAGUGGGGAAUAUUGGACAAUGGGGGAAACCCUGAUCCAGCAAUGCCGCGUGUGCGAUGAAGGCCUGCGGGUCGUAAAGCACUUUCGGUGGGGAAGAAAUGCUCAAAUAUAAUACAUUUGAGAGCUGACGUUACCCACAGAAGAAGCACCGGCAAACUCUGUGCCAGCAGCCGCGUGUAAUACAGAGGGUGCAAGCGUUAGUCGGAGUUACUGGGCGUAAAGGGCGCGUAGGCUGACGUUUAAGUCGGUUGUGAAAUCCCUGGGCUUAACCUAGGAAUUGCAGUCGAUACUGGACGUCUAGAGUAUGGUAGAGGAAAGUGGAAUUCUCGGUGUAGUGGUUAAAUACGUAGAUAUCGAGAAGAACACCAGUGGCGAAGGCGACUUUCUGGACCAAUACUGACGCUGAGGCGCGAAAGCGUGGGGAGCAAACAGGAUUAGAUACCCGAGUAGUC
This 465-nucleotide ribosomal RNA is filed under the name uncultured bacterium. RNAcentral's name for it is "partial 16S ribosomal RNA". It matches the Rfam family "Bacterial small subunit ribosomal RNA", at positions 339 to 795 of the family's 1533-position model. The record is from RNAcentral.